AUACGAACCGGACAAACGUUAUUCGGAAUUAUUGGGCUUAAAGGGUGCGUAGGCGGCGCGGUAAGUGAGGUGUGAAAGCCCACGGCUCAACCGUGGAAUUGCGCUUCAUACUGCCGUGCUAGAGGGAGACAGAGGUAAGCGGAACUGAUGGUGGAGCGGUGAAAUGCGUUGAUAUUAUCAGGAACACCGGUGGCGAAAGCGGCUUACUGGGUCUCUUCUGACGCUGAGGCACGAAAGCUAGGGUAGCGAACGGGAUUAGAAACCCCAGUAGUCC
Molecule: ribosomal RNA, 274 nt
Filed under: uncultured bacterium
Lineage: Bacteria
Description: partial 16S ribosomal RNA
Rfam family: Bacterial small subunit ribosomal RNA
Source: RNAcentral